Molecule: non-coding RNA, 1168 nt
Organism: Gorilla gorilla gorilla (western lowland gorilla)
Lineage: Eukaryota; Metazoa; Chordata; Mammalia; Primates; Hominidae
Source: the annotation of a RefSeq genome assembly
CAGGGGAGAGGCCAUCACUUGAAGAUGCUGAGUCUUCUGCUCCUUCUCCUGGGACUAGGCUCUGUGUUCAGUGCUGUCAUCUCUCAAAAGCCAAGCAGGGAUAUCUGUCAACGUGGAACUUCCCUGACGAUCCAGUGUCAAGUCGAUAGCCAAGUCACCAUGAUGUUCUGGUACCGUCAGCAACCUGGACAGAGCCUGACACUGAUUGCAACUGCAAAUCAGGGCUCUGAGGCCACAUAUGAGAGUGGAUUUAUCAUUGACAAGUUUCCCAUCAGCCGCCCAAACCUAACAUUCUCAACUCUGACUGUGAGCAACAUGAGCCCUGAAGACAGCAGCAUAUAUCUCUGCAGCCCUCUGCAGCUGUGCUCCUAUAAUUCGCCCCUCCACUUUGGGAACGGUACCAGGCUCACUGUGACAGAGGACCUGAACAAGGUGUUCCCACCCGAGGUCGCUGUGUUUGAGCCAUCAGAAGCAGAGAUCUCCCACACCCAAAAGGCCACACUGGUGUGCCUGGCCACAGGCUUCUUCCCCGACCACGUGGAGCUGAGCUGGUGGGUGAACGGGAAGGAGGUGCACAGUGGGGUCAGCACGGACCCGCAGCCCCUCAAGGAGCAGCCCGCCCUCAAUGACUCCAGAUACUGCCUGAGCAGCCGCCUGAGGGUCUCAGCCACCUUCUGGCAGAACCCCCGCAACCACUUCCGCUGUCAAGUCCAGUUCUACGGGCUCUCGGAGAAUGACGAGUGGACCCAGGAUAGGGCCAAACCCGUCACCCAGAUCGUCAGCGCCGAGGUCUGGGGUAGAGCAGACUGUGGCUUUACCUCGGUGUCCUACCAGCAAGGGGUCCUGUCUGCCACCAUCCUCUAUGAGAUCCUGCUAGGGAAGGCCACCCUGUAUGCUGUGCUGGUCAGCGCGCUUGUGUUGAUGGCCAUGGUCAAGAGAAAGGAUUUCUGAAGGCAGCCCUGGAAGUGGAGUUAGGAGCUUCUAACUCGUCGUGGUUUCAAUACACAUUCUUCUUUUGCCAGCGCUUCUGAAGAGCUGCUCUCACCUCUCUGCAUCCCGAUAGAUAUCCCCCUAUGUGCAUGCACACCUGCACACUCACGGCUGAAAUCUCCCUAACCCAGGGGGACCUUAGCAUGCCUAAGCGACUAAACCAAUAAAAAUGUUCUGG